UACGUAGGUGGCGAGCGUUGUUCGGAUUUAUUGGGCGUAAAGGGUCCGCAGGGGGUUGAUUAAGUCUGACGUGAAAUCCCUGAGCUCAACUCAGGAAUGGCGUUGGAGACUGGUUGACUGGAGUAUUGGAGAGGUAAUUGGAAUUCCAGGUGUAGCGGUGGAAUGCGUAGAUAUCUGGAAGAACAUCGAAAGCGAAGGCAGAUUACUGGACAAUAACUGACCCUCAGGGACGAAAGCAUGGGGAGCAAACAGG
This 253-nucleotide ribosomal RNA is filed under the name uncultured bacterium. RNAcentral's name for it is "partial 16S ribosomal RNA". It matches the Rfam family "Bacterial small subunit ribosomal RNA", at positions 524 to 776 of the family's 1533-position model. The record is from RNAcentral.